GCUCCCAACGCGACCCCA
Molecule: ribosomal RNA, 18 nt
Filed under: Fagus longipetiolata
Lineage: Eukaryota; Viridiplantae; Streptophyta; Magnoliopsida; Fagales; Fagaceae
Description: partial 25S ribosomal RNA
Source: RNAcentral